Molecule: unclassified non-coding RNA, 436 nt
Filed under: uncultured Thelephoraceae
Lineage: Eukaryota; Fungi; Basidiomycota; Agaricomycetes; Thelephorales; Thelephoraceae
Description: sequence contains ITS2
Rfam family: 5.8S ribosomal RNA (bases 1-155)
Source: RNAcentral
AACUUUUAGCAACGGAUCACUUGGCUCUCGCAUCGAUGAAGAACGCAUCGAAAUGCGAUAAGUAAUGUGAAUUGCAGAAUUCAGUGAAUCAUCGAAUCUUUGAACGCACCUUGCGCCCUUUGGUUAUUCCGAAGGGCAUGCCUGUUUGAGUAUCGUGAACACCUCAACUCUCACGGUUUGCCGUGAUGAGCUUGGAUUUUGGGGGUCUUGCUGGCCUAUGGUCGGCUCCUCUCAAAUGAAUCAGCUUGCCAGUGUUUGGUGGCAUCACAGGUGUGAUAACUAUCUAUGCUUGUGGUUUUCCACCAGGUAACCUCCAGCAAUGGAGGUUCGCUGGAGCUCAUAAAUGUCCCUCCUCAGCGAGGACAGCUUUUGAACGUUUGAUCUCAAAUCAGGUAGGACUACCCGCUGAACUUAAGCAUAUCAAUAAGCGGAGGCU